Phasianus colchicus (ring-necked pheasant) is the source of this 2901-nucleotide RNA transcript. It is a transcript of the gene named LTO1 maturation factor of ABCE1, with no coding region annotated. Lineage: Eukaryota; Metazoa; Chordata; Aves; Galliformes; Phasianidae. The record is from RefSeq and is a predicted model, not a curated record.
GCGGCCCCUCCGGCUCGCCGUCGCCUCCCGGCGUGCUGAGCGCGGCGCCGGCCCCGUCUGUGGCGGCGCGAUGGCGGCCCGCUCCCCGGGAUCGGACAUGUUUGAUGAGAUCGUGAUGGCCGAUGACAGGUUUCACGGGGAGGGCUACCAGGAGGGGUACGCCGAGGGCAGCCAGGCGGGGGCUGCUGAGGGGCGGAGGUGCGGCGCUCUGCAUGGCGCCAAGAUUGGUUCUGAGAUCGGCAGCUACCUUGGAUUUGCACUGACCUGGCAGUGUCUGCUCCCAAAAUGUACGGAUGAAAAGAACAGUAAAAAGAUAAGGGCUCUGGAUUCAUUAAUAGGAAUGAUUCAGAAGUUCCCAUAUGAAGAUCCCACUUAUGAAAAGCUUCAAGAUGAUCUGGAAAAAAUCAGAGGAAAAUUUAAACAGGAGUGAAUGCAAAGCUAAUUACUGGUAGUAUAUUGAAGUCAUUUCAGUUGAGAAGACUUACAGUUUUCAUUUCUAAAUUACAAGAGUACAAGAAACAGUGAGUUUUGAGGCAUCAACAAGGAAAGUUCAUGAUAGGUCAGUCAGAGGUGAGCAGAUGUAAUCAAGGUCUGAUUUGAGUGGGCAGCCUUUGGCUUUCAGGUAGGCCUCACCAUACGAUAGAUAUUUUGGUCGGAAACAUCGUGCUGUAGCUGUGCCCUAAUCUGUACUUGCCCUAAUCUGUACAGGAGUGUAACUUUCUAUUUGUCUUUAAGUGAAUGUGCAGGCUUGGUGUUCUGUUUUGAGAUGGGUUGCUACACUGGGAUGGGUUGUUUACCUGAAAUAAAUACUAAGUGUUGCAUUUCUUCAAAAAUAUUAUAAAUGAAGCCAUAAGUAAAAUGAGAACAGAGAUGAAAUCCACACAAAUGGAUUCUUUUUCUCAUACAGUGUAAGUGAGAAGACCUCUAGCAGAAUUAAGUGCAACCUCCAACACCCAGAGAGGGAGCUUGGAAAGGUAAAAGCUAUUGCUGGAAUUAAUCUGUGUACAGUAGUUAUUGCAUCCAAAAAACAGGAGCCGUUCUGGUAGGAAUUGAUCUCUGCAGAGUGUUGGUUUUUAUAUUCAGGAGUUGGCUGGAAGUGCUGUGUACAGCCUGGGCCCCAGAAGCUGCCUCUGUACUGCGGGGUGGUACAACAGCAAAGCCCAUGCAGAGUUCAGAUGCUGCAUGUGUGCCUUGUUCGUGGUACACCCAGUACCCAGUCUUUCUGCCAGCAGUUUUCUCUUUAAGUAAGAGUAUUCGUAAAAAUUGUGGCUGCAGAUAUUUAGCAGUUUCUUAGUAUGGCUGUGCAGGUGCUAAUGGGAUCGCUGAGAAACUGUUUGAUUUUCUUAUCAGAUUUCUAAAAAAGCAAAAAGAGAACUUUUAUCUUGCUCCUAGAGCCUAAAGAGCAAAAUCGGAAGUCUAGCAAGCCUUAUGUUAGCAGUGCAAUCCAGUUAACAAAUACACAAUCAUUGUUUGAUCUCAAUAUUGUGGGGAACUCAAAAGCUAAAUGGGAAUCAUACGUUUGCCGUGCCACUGCAAUUACCUAUGUCAGUUAUAUUGCUGGGAUCAUAAAAUCACCAUGUUUGUCUGAAAAAGAUACAUUUCCCAUUAAGAGAUGUUGGUGGGAUUUCAUUGAAAUGCCAUCAAUUGUAGCUUUACUACCUUUGUCCCAUUGUAGCUUUUCAGUGACACUACUAGGAAUCUUACCAGAGCAUCUAGCCCACCUGUUUGGGUCAUUCCUGUGGCUCCUCUGGAACAGUAGCUCCAAGCUUCUCUUUCUUCUCUAUCUGGAGUUUUCCAUCCCUUUAAAUGCCAAGUAUGCUUCCAUGUAAGUGAAUUUCCAAUUUCUGCAUUUAAUGGACCCUGCUUAUUCUUUAAUAAAGAAUUUGUGAUGUUAAUGUUUAUAAAAGAUAAAAGAUCUUAUGUUCAUUUAAUGUUCAUAAAAGUUUGCCAGUCUGAAUUCAGCAAUGGAAUUGGAGUUUUUGGAGAUCUUUUGGAGGUUUUCUGUGUACACUUCUCCAUCUGAUGUAAUAAAGUAUUUUUCCUUUUAAUGAGCAAGAGCGCAGCCUAGCUGAAUGUGCAUAUUUUUUACAGCCUAUAGUAAAUUGUUUUUCUUGCUACAUUCUUGUCAUCCUGCCCUUUUCAAUGUGAAUAAUACACUUGAAUUUACUAGGCUGCAUUCAGAAAUGAUGCUUAAGAAAAUCUAAAUAGCAGAGCUGACAGUCAGGGCUUAGACCUACUAAAGUUGCAGAAUAUCAGUUUUUAAUAGUGUAAAACAUCAUAGAAAAGGCAAAAAUCACUUAACAUGUUCAACAGAAAGCAGAUUGAAAUUUCUCAUCGCUUUUUUUUUUUUUUUCCCCAGCAAAAAGCUGUUUGUCCCAAAUCAGGAUCAUAAGUAUGUCCUCACUCAAAACAUAUGAGUGACUGCACUAGGAGAGACUGAUUUUGCACUAGACUGUGUGAAACAGAUGUCAGUAGCUUUCAUUGUAGCCUUCUUUGCGUAGUUAUUGCAUAGAAUCGGUUGUGAUGUGCAGUUUAGUCACUGGGAAGCUCAUAAAGCAGGUAUGAGAUUUGUCAUCCAGGGAGACUUGACAUUUUACGCGAGUUGAUACUUCUAAUGCAGUAAUUGACAUCACGUUCUCCUCUCAUUCUCAAUAGUCAGUAUAUAGAUUAGAAGUGAUCGUUCUCCACGAAGAAUAAUCUGUUGCUGCAGUGUCCAGCUCUUGCAAUUGGCAACACGCAUCCUAUUUUCAGAAAGGCACCUUGGAGAAGGAAUUGGCAAACAGGUUGUAAGUUUUUCUCAUUUUGUAAUUGUACCUCAUUACUGUUGUAUUUCCUUCUCAAGUCCAGUUCUUUCUUGUGUAUUUUAGCAGGCUUUUAAUUUUUUCUGUAUUAAUUCCUCAU